GAAUAUUGAGUGCUUGCACGAGAUUGGAUUUGGAUUGCCAUUUAGUGGCAGACGGGUGAGUAACACGUGGGUAAUCUACCUCAAAGACUGGGAUAGCGGUUAGAAAUGACUGCUAAUACCGGAUGAUUUAUAUUUAGGAAACUAUUUAUACUAAAAGGAGCUUUUGCUUCACUUUGAGAUGAGCUUGCGGCGUAUUAGCUAGUUGGUAGGGUAAUGGCCUACCAAGGCGACGAUGCGUAGCCGAACUGAGAGGUUGAACGGCCACACUGGGACUGAGACACGGCCCAGACUCCUACGGGAGACAGCAGUUAGGAAUAUUCGUCAAUGGAGGAAACUCUGAACGAGCAAUGCCGCGUGAGUGAUGAAGGUCUUUAUGAUUGUAAAACUCUGUUGUAGAGGAAGAAACCUUACUAUAGGUAAUGAUAGUAAGCUGACAGUACUUUACUAGAAAGCCCCCGGCUAACUACGUGCCAGCAGCCGCGGUAAUACGUAGGGGGCAAGCGUUAUCCGGAUUUAUUGGGCGUAAAGGGUGUGUAGGCGGUUUAUUAAGUCUAAGAUCAAAUGCUGGAGCUUAACUCCAGUUCGUUUUGGAAACUGGUAGACUUGAGUAUGGUAGAGGUAAGUGGAAUUUCUAGUGUAGCGGUUAAAUGCGUAGAUAUUAGAAGGAACAUCAGUGGCGAAGGCGACUUACUGGGCCAUUACUGACGCUGAGACACGAAAGCGUGGGGAGCGAAUAGGAUUAGAUACCCUAGUAGUCCACGCUGUAAACGAUGAGUACUA
This 780-nucleotide ribosomal RNA is filed under the name uncultured bacterium. RNAcentral's name for it is "bacterial SSU rRNA". It matches the Rfam family "Bacterial small subunit ribosomal RNA", at positions 46 to 818 of the family's 1533-position model. The record is from RNAcentral.